UGCGCAGGCGGCAUCGCAAGUCAGGCGUGAAAUCCCCGGGCUUAACCUGGGAAUGGCGCUCGAAACUACGGUGCUGGAGUAUGGCAGAGGGAGGUGGAAUUCCACGUGUAGCGGUGAAAUGCGUAGAGAUGUGGAGGAACACCGAUGGCGAAGGCAGCCUCCUGGGCCAAUACUGACGCUCAUGCACGAAAGCGUGGGGAGCAAACA
This 207-nucleotide ribosomal RNA is filed under the name uncultured bacterium. RNAcentral describes it as "partial 16S ribosomal RNA". It matches the Rfam family "Bacterial small subunit ribosomal RNA", at positions 568 to 774 of the family's 1533-position model. The record is from RNAcentral.